GAUGAACGCUGGCGGCGCGCCUAACACAUGCAAGUCGAACGAUUAAAGCACCUUCGGGUGUGUAUAAAGUGGCGAACGGCUGAGUAACACGUGGGCAACCUGCCCCCUUCAUUGGGAUAGCCACGGGAAACCGUGGAUAAUACCGAAUACUUCGAGACUUCCGCAUGGAAGACUCGAGAAAGCUCCGGCGGAGAGGGAUGGGCCCGCGGCCUGUUAGCUUGUUGGUGGGGUAACGGCCUACCAAGGCAAUGAUGGGUAGCUGGGUUGAGAGACCGACCAGCCAGAUGGGGACUGAGACACGGCGCAGACUCCUACGGGAGGCAGCAGUGGGGAGCCUUGCACAAUGGGCGAAAGCCUGAUGCAGCGACGCCGCGUGCGGGAUGAAGGCCUUCGGGUUGUAAACCGCUUUCAGCAGGGACGAGGCGAAAGUGACGGUACCUGCAGAAGAAGCCCCGGCUAACUACGUG
This 467-nucleotide ribosomal RNA is filed under the name uncultured bacterium. RNAcentral's name for it is "partial 16S ribosomal RNA". It matches the Rfam family "Bacterial small subunit ribosomal RNA", at positions 28 to 507 of the family's 1533-position model. The record is from RNAcentral.